AACGAACGCUGGCGGCAUGCCUAACACAUGCAAGUCGAACGAGAUCUUCGGGUCUAGUGGCGCACGGGUGCGUAACGCGUGGGAAUCUGCCCUUUGGUUCGGAAUAACAGUUGGAAACGACUGCUAAUACCGGAUGAUGACGAAAGUCCAAAGAUUUAUCGCCAGAGGAUGAGCCCGCGUAGGAUUAGCUAGUUGGUGUGGUAAGGGCGCACCAAGGCGACGAUCCUUAGCUGGUCGGAGAGGAUGAUCAGCCAAACUGGGACUGAGACACGGCCCAGACUCCUACGGGAGGCAGCAGUGGGGAAUAUUGGACAAUGGGCGAAAGCCUGAUCCAGCAAUGCCGCGUGAGUGAUGAAGGCCUUAGGGUUGUAAAGCUCUUUUACCCGGGAUGAUAAUGACAGUACCGGGAGAAUAAGCUCCGGCUAACUCCGUGCCAGCCGCCGCCGUAA
RNAcentral lists this ribosomal RNA (449 nucleotides) under uncultured bacterium. RNAcentral's name for it is "partial 16S ribosomal RNA". It matches the Rfam family "Bacterial small subunit ribosomal RNA", at positions 29 to 523 of the family's 1533-position model. The record is from RNAcentral.